Molecule: long non-coding RNA, 1669 nt
Organism: Perognathus longimembris pacificus (Pacific pocket mouse)
Lineage: Eukaryota; Metazoa; Chordata; Mammalia; Rodentia; Heteromyidae
Exons: 6
Source: RefSeq, a predicted model, not a curated record
UCGGGUCCGCUCCCCGGGCGCCGCACGGCGGUCUCCCGGCUUGGCGGCCCCAGGCGCGUGCGCUGGGGGGCCCCGCGGAUGGCGGCGGGGACAUCCCUGUCGGCGCGAAUCUCGGGUUCCAGAGCGCUGAGGUGCGCGCGGUGGGCCCGGCCCUCACGGGAGCGCGCGCCGUCCCGGCCGGCGGAGCCCCCUCACCCCCCCCCGCGGCAGUGACGUCAGCAGCCGGCGCGCCCCGUCCCCCGCUACGUCACCGGCCGUCCCCGGCGGGCUCGCGGGCCGAGGAGCCGCGGGGCCGCUCGGCCUGGCGAGGCCUCGGGUUUGACGGGAUGGUCCGUCCCCCCCAUUCCGGCCUUGCAGGACGUCAGCCCGAAGGAGCCCUCCACCGAGCCAUCCGGCCCCGGGCGAGUGCUGCAGUCGGGGGGAGAAGCAGGAAGGCCCCCCGGAGACACCUGACCCUCACUCCACGGAAUCGCCUUCCUCCCUCUCGCCUGGUGCCAGGACGGACUCGGGGCCCGGGUGCUGCCCCUUAGCUCUUUCUCGUCGAGGCCUGGGCUCUACCAUCUGGGUAAUCUCUACCAUCUGGUGAACUGGAGAUAAGAAUCCUACAGACUCUCCCGCCCAGUGUAGGUAGCCUCAGUCCUCAGAUCCCAGCCUCCAGAGUGGAGUUACUGUGACACAAUGUACCGAAGAAACUGGUCCCCUAGCCAAUGAACUUUGCAUAUGCCUGACCUUAAUGAAGAGAUGCUAUAGAGAUUCUGAAGGCUGGGCCACUGCUCCUUGACAUUGAGGUGAAUCCGCAGAUCAACAAACAGUCUAGACAGUGCUGGGAGCCGAGCAUUAUUAUCCUUCAGGCAUUUGGUAAAGAUGCCCUACUACUGACCUCCACUCCCAGCCCAGGCAUAGAUGGUGCAUGAAAUGACAUUGUUUGGGUCAGUUUCCAGAAGCAUCACUUUGAAGGGAAAAGGAGAGUACAACUCUAGGAAGAAGAAUCAGCAGCUGGCCUAGUACCUUACAGAAGCAUUCAGCCUCCUUGCUAUGCUGUCAUGUCAGAUGUGGUUGAGAUAUCCCCUAUCUGUGGAACAACUGUAACUUCGGGAUACUGCAGAAGUGAAGCUGCCUUGGAGGGUUAAUGGAGACCAUGCAUAAAACUUCUCCACUUGAUAAAAGAGGAAACCCUAAUGAUUAAAUGGUGUCCAUAUCACUGCACUCUCACUUUCCAGUUCCAACAGACCUAUAAGCAGAUGAAGAGGAUAUCGAUGUUGCUGAGUUGGGUAACUUAGGGACCCUUCAGGUCUUUUGGCCAUUGGGCAUUAUUUCACUAAAAAGAGGAUCUUAAAUGCAUUGUGCUGAUUUAUUGACUGCAGUAAGCAGAAUGCUUGUUUAGAGCUGGGUGAAUAACAGAGCAAUGGCAUGGUGAAGUCAGCUAGUAGGCGGCAAAUCACUACACUUUGCUUCACACUGCCAGAAUUAUUUCCUAAUGGACAAAGUACUUAUUAUACAGGACUCUAAGUAUUCACACACAGUGAGACCAAAGGAGGAUGUUCUUAGGAGAGGAACACAAAAGUAUACUCACUGCCUCUAUGUCUCUGUUCAUAUUAAAUAAAAUUUAUCAAAAUAAACUCCAGGAAAUCGAAACGAGGAUUUUUUCCUUUCUUUCUUUUUUGUCUUG